CCUUACCAGGUCUUGACAUCCCUUGACAACUCCAGAGAUGGAGCGUUCCCUUCGGGGACAAGGUGACAGGUGGUGCAUGGUUGUCGUCAGCUCGUGUCGUGAGAUGUUGGGUUAAGUCCCGCAACGAGCGCAACCCUUAUUACUAGUUGCCAGCAUUUAGUUGGGCACUCUAGUGAGACUGCCGGUGACAAACCGGAGGAAGGUGGGGAUGACGUCAAAUCAUCAUGCCCCUUAUGACCUGGGCUACACACGUGCUACAAUGGCGUAUACAACGAGUUGCCAACCCGCGAGGGUGAGCUAAUCUCUUAAAGUACGUCUCAGUUCGGAUUGUAGGCUGCAACUCGCCUACAUGAAGUCGGAAUCGCUAGUAAUCGCGGAUCAGCACGCCGCGGUGAAUACGUUCCCGGGUCUUGUACACACCGCCCGUCACACCAUGAGAGUUUGUAACACCCAAAGCCGGUGGGGUAACCUUUUAGGAGCCAGCCGUCUAAGGUGGGACAGAUGAUUAGGGUGAAGUCGUAACAAGGUAGGCGUAGCGAG
Molecule: ribosomal RNA, 540 nt
Filed under: uncultured bacterium
Lineage: Bacteria
Description: bacterial SSU rRNA
Rfam family: Bacterial small subunit ribosomal RNA
Source: RNAcentral